GCAGUAGCCGCGGUAAAACGGAGGGUGCAAGCGUUAAUCGGAAUUACUGGGCGUAAAGCGCACGCAGGCGGUUUGUUAAGUCAGAUGUGAAAUCCCCGAGCUUAACUUGGGAACUGCAUUUGAAACUGGCAAGCUAUAGUCUUGUAGAGGGGGGUAGAAUUCCAGGUGUAGCGGUGAAAUGCGUAGAGAUCGGGAGGAACAUCAGUGGCGAAGGCGGCCAUCUGGGACAACACUGACGCUGAGGCACGAAAGCGUGGGGAGCAAACAGGAUUAGAUACCCGCGUAGUCCCUGUCUCUUAUAC
Molecule: ribosomal RNA, 302 nt
Filed under: uncultured bacterium
Lineage: Bacteria
Description: partial 16S ribosomal RNA
Rfam family: Bacterial small subunit ribosomal RNA
Source: RNAcentral